Gymnothorax javanicus (giant moray) is the source of this 82-nucleotide non-coding RNA. The record is from the annotation of a GenBank genome assembly. NCBI's taxonomy places the organism in Eukaryota, Metazoa, Chordata, Actinopteri, Anguilliformes, Muraenidae.
UGCCAGAUAGCUCAGUUGGUAAAGCAUUGCACUAUGAAGCAGAAGUGAUUAUCACGUUGUGGGUUCGAUCCCCGCCUUGUAC